UUGUGCAGCCAUAUCACCCUGUAGCCCAAGCCUGGUUGCCCACUGAAGCUAAGCAGGGCUGAGCCUGAUCAGUACCUGGAUGGGAGACCUCCUGGGAAAACUAGGUUGCUGCUGGAA
Sinocyclocheilus anshuiensis is the source of this 117-nucleotide ribosomal RNA. The record is from Ensembl. Lineage: Eukaryota; Metazoa; Chordata; Actinopteri; Cypriniformes; Cyprinidae.